GGGGUGACGGCGUACCUUUUGUAUAAUGGGUCAGCGACUUACGUUCAGUAGCAAGCUUAACCGUAUAGGGCAGGCGUAGCGAAAGCGAGUCCGAAUAGGGCGUUCAGUUGCUGGGCGUAGACCCGAAACCAGGUGAUCUAUCCAUGGCCAGGAUGAAGGUGCGGUAACACGUACUGGAGGUCCGAACCCACUAACGUUGAAAAGUUAGGGGAUGAGCUGUGGAUAGGGGUGAAAGGCUAAACAAACCUGGAAAUAGCUGGUUCUCUCCGAAAACUAUUUAGGUAGUGCCUCGUGUCUCACCUUCGGGGGUAGAGCACUGUCAUGGUUGGGGGGUCUAUUGCAGAUUACCCCGCCAUAGCAAACUCCGAAUACCGAAGAGUGCAAUCACGGGAGACAGACAUCGGGUGCUAACGUCCGGUGUCAAGAGGGAAACAACCCAGACCGCCAGCUAAGGUCCCCAAAUAUGGCUAAGUGGGAAACGAAGUGGGAAGGCUAAAACAGUCAGGAGGUUGGCUUAGAAGCAGCCACCCUUUAAAGAAAGCGUAAUAGCUCACUGAUCGAGUCGUCCUGCGCGGAAGAUGUAACGGGGCUAAGCCAUAUACCGAAGCUGCGGAUGCGUGCUUGCACGCAUGGUAGGAGAGCGUUCCGUAAGCCUGCGAAGGUGCCUUGUAAAGGGUGCUGGAGGUAUCGGAAGUGCGAAUGCUGACAUGAGUAGCGAUAAAGGGGGUGAAAGGCCCCCUCGCCGUAAGCCCAAGGUUUCCUACGCAACGUUCAUCGGCGUAGGGUGAGUCGGCCCCUAAGGCGAGGCAGAAAUGCGUAGCUGAUGGGAAGCAGGUCAAUAUUCCUGCACCGUCGUUAGAUGCGAUGGGGGGACGGAUCGCGGAAGGUUGUCCGGGUGUUGGACGUCCCGGUCGCUGCAUUGGAGAAGGCGCUUAGGCAAAUCCGGGCGCAGGAUUCAAGGGUGUGGCGCGAGCGACUUCGGUCGCGAAGCAAUUGGAAGUGGUUCCAAGAAAAGCCUCUAAGCUUCAGUCUAACGAUGACCGUACCGCAAACCGACACAGGUGGGCGAGAUGAGUAUUCUAAGGCGCUUGAGAGAACUCGGGAGAAGGAACUCGGCAAAUUGGUACCGUAACUUCGGGAUAAGGUACGCCCUUGUAGCUUGACUGGCCUGCGCCAGGAGGGUGAAGGGGUUGCAAUAAACUGGUGGCUGCGACUGUUUAAUAAAAACACAGCACUCUGCAAACACGAAAGUGGACGUAUAGGGUGUGACGCCUGCCCGGUGCCGGAAGAUUAAAUGAUGGGGUGCAAGCUCUUGAUUGAAGUCCCGGUAAACGGCGGCCGUAACUAUAACGGUCCUAAGGUAGCGAAAUUCCUUGUCGGGUAAGUUCCGACCUGCACGAAUGGCGUAACGAUGGCCACACUGUCUCCUCCCGAGACUCAGCGAAGUUGAAGUGUUUGUGAUGAUGCAAUCUACCCGCGGCUAGACGGAAAGACCCCAUGAACCUUUACUGUAGCUUUGCAUUGGACUUUGAACCGAUCUGUGUAGGAUAGGUGGGAGGCUAUGAAACCGGAACGCUAGUUUCGGUGGAGCCGUCCUUGAAAUACCACCCUGGUUUGUUUGAGGUUCUAACCUUGGUCCGUGAUCCGGAUCGGGGACAGUGCAUGGUAGGCAGUUUGACUGGGGCGGUCUCCUCCCAAAGGGUAACGGAGGAGUACGAAGGUACGCUAGGUACGGUCGGAAAUCGUGCUGAUAGUGCAAUGGCAUAAGCGUGCUUAACUGCGAGACCGACAAGUCGAGCAGGUGCGAAAGCAGGUCAUAGUGAUCCGGUGGUUCUGUAUGGAAGGGCCAUCGCUCAACGGAUAAAAGGUACUCUGGGGAUAACAGGCUGAUACCGCCCAAGAGUUCAUAUCGACGGCGGUGUUUGGCACCUCGAUGUCGGCUCAUCUCAUCCUGGGGCUGUAGCCGGUCCCAAGGGUAUGGCUGUUCGCCAUUUAAAGAGGUACGUGAGCUGGGUUUAAAACGUCGUGAGACAGUUUGGUCCCUAUCUGCCGUGGGCGUUGGAUAUUUGAA
This 2071-nucleotide ribosomal RNA is filed under the name Burkholderia multivorans. Its description in RNAcentral is "partial 23S ribosomal RNA". It matches the Rfam family "Bacterial large subunit ribosomal RNA", at positions 590 to 2666 of the family's 2925-position model. The record is from RNAcentral. Lineage: Bacteria; Pseudomonadati; Pseudomonadota; Betaproteobacteria; Burkholderiales; Burkholderiaceae.